AGAGUUUGAUCCUGGCUCAGAUGAACGCUGGCGGCAGGCCUAACACAUGCAAUGCGAACGGUAGCACAGAGGAGCUUGCUCCUUGGGUGACGAGUGGCGGACGGGUGAGUAAUGUCUGGGAAACUGCCUGAUGGAGGGGGAUAACUACUGGAAACGGUAGCUAAUACCGCAUAACGUCGCAAGACCAAAGAGGGGGACCUUCGGGCCUCUUGCCAUCAGAUGUGCCCAGAUGGGAUUAGCUAGUAGGUGGGGUAAUGGCUCACCUAGGCGACGAUCCCUAGCUGGUCUGAGAGGAUGACCAGCCACACUGGAACUGAGACACGGUCCAGACUCCUACGGGAGGCAGCAGUGGGGAAUAUUGCACAAUGGGCGCAAGCCUGAUGCAGCCAUGCCGCGUGUAUGAAGAAGGCCUUCGGGUUGUAAAGUACUUUCAGCGGGGAGGAAGGCGAUACGGUUAAUAACC
RNAcentral lists this ribosomal RNA (463 nucleotides) under Enterobacter sp. glo7. Its description in RNAcentral is "bacterial SSU rRNA". It matches the Rfam family "Bacterial small subunit ribosomal RNA", at positions 8 to 468 of the family's 1533-position model. Lineage: Bacteria; Pseudomonadati; Pseudomonadota; Gammaproteobacteria; Enterobacterales; Enterobacteriaceae. The record is from RNAcentral.